AGAAUAGAUUAACCAAUGAAUAUUACGUUACAUAUAUUAUUUAUCUUAGAAGUUAACAACACCAUCCUCCGUAGUUCUCGUUGGUUGGGUACUUGGCCACCGAUGAGCAAAUUACGGGUUCGAGGAAUGGUGGGAGAGAGAGAAAAGGAGAGAAAAUGAGGUAUUUCAAAAUACCUCCAUUUUGGCCAUUUCAAUUUGGUGUAGAUUUUAAUGAAUUCUGAUAUACUUGUAAUUAGGCCACAUUUUAUUUUUUAAAAAAUAUUUUUUGGUUGACAGAAUAGUGAUAAUUUGGUAAUUUAAUAAUUUUAAUAAUGAUUCACUUGUAAUUAUGGUAAAUUUUAUUAUUUUAAACACUUUUUAGUUGAUUGGACUGUGAACAUCAGC
RNAcentral lists this long non-coding RNA (384 nucleotides) under Ananas comosus (pineapple). RNAcentral describes it as "long non-coding RNA (ACOM_LNC011322)". The record is from RNAcentral. Lineage: Eukaryota; Viridiplantae; Streptophyta; Magnoliopsida; Poales; Bromeliaceae.